GCUUUGCUGGAGAAUGUAUGGAGCUAUGAUCAGGUCAAUAGUAGUGCUUUAUCUCUUUUCUGCUUUUUGUUUUGAUUUUGUUCAAUGCAACUUCAAAAUCAAAUGAAAGAAUGGAAGGGUAGGCUGAGUGGAGAACAGAAGCAUAUGCGUUCAGCGGAAGAGGUAAAGAAAGGGCAUAUUGAAGAGACUGUGAGCAGAAAGGAAAGAAAAUUCUCUGCUUAAAUACCAUGGUAAUUGUGAGUCAAGAAAUGCCUUCGGGUGGAUUUUCCCAAAGGACUCAGCAUGAUGUCAAUGGGAACAGUGCUUUAGAAAACCUCAGCUUGAACAAAUAUAGAAAAGGACAACAAUCAUUGGAAUUCGGUUAUCUAAAGCCACUACUCCUAAUCCUGGCCCUUGUCAGAGAGAAGAUUCUGGCAGGAAGCACCUCUGGCCACACCUGCUGUGACUGCUGUCCCGUUCCUGAAUUCCACCUACAUUGAUCCUUCUUUAGUGUUCACUCAGGUGCAGUCACAAGGAGUAGACGUUAUGUGUGUCUGGGGGAUUAGUACAAGGACUGCGUAUCAUCUGAGUUUGCUUUCUGCUUCAAGCAGUCCACAGACAGCAUGCCAGCCCUCUACAUGAAGUUGGCAUUGGGUCCACAGAGUGUGAGCUGGCUUCCUGAAUGGAUGAGAAGGCAGAAGGCAAGCCAAGUAAAAAAGCUAAUUUUCAAAGCCUGUGACUGGAAAAUGAAAGACAUAGAUGUAUAAAGAAAUAGCAGUAUUAUAGGUCUAGACAGACAUUAAUGAGCAUGUGCCCUAACGAUCAUAUCAAGGUUAUAAGCCACUGCUUAUGCACAAGACAAAUCUAGCUCAUCUAGCUCAAACACCGGCUGUUCAAACUCUGUCCUAAUUACAAGAUUUAUGCCUUUGCCUUUAUCCAAAGGGUUGAUCUGAAGGAAUGAAAGAGUAGUUCAAGCUCUAAGUCCCCUUGCUUCUU
This is a long non-coding RNA of Anas platyrhynchos (mallard), 975 nucleotides long. RefSeq lists it as uncharacterized. The record is from RefSeq and is a predicted model, not a curated record. Lineage: Eukaryota; Metazoa; Chordata; Aves; Anseriformes; Anatidae.